CAGGACUAAAGCUUUUAUGGCAACUGGGAGCUGCUAUACUUGGUGGUGAGCAGUUAAACAUCACAUCCCAUGGGAACUAAAGUCAGGAACAUGAAUAUACCUGUGAAGCUGACUCCCUGAGAGUGCUCCUGAAAGUGUUCCCUGAUGGAAGUUUCAGAACGUAGCUUUCUUGCAGUUGCAAAUUCUUUGGUAAAGGAUUUUAUAGGAUUCACAGUCAUACUUCCAUUCAGCGAAAAGGGAAGUGGUGGAAAGAAAGGAAGCCUCAGCUUGAGUGACGGUAUCAUGAGACAGCAUCAAGAAAGAGAGAAUUGCGCAGCACUGGUGAUGUGCUGUCAUGGUCACUGUUGUGAGUGUCAAAGAGAGGAGAAACAACAGGCUAUGAGAAGUGCAGUGCAAGCCAUGGAACCUGUGGGUGCAAAAGUGUACAAAAUACGGUUUCUUAGUGUGGAUUUUGGAAUCUAG
This 462-nucleotide long non-coding RNA is filed under the name Numida meleagris (helmeted guineafowl). Its description in RNAcentral is "lncRNA (ENSNMEG00000021653.1)". Lineage: Eukaryota; Metazoa; Chordata; Aves; Galliformes; Numididae. The record is from RNAcentral.